Molecule: ribosomal RNA, 564 nt
Filed under: uncultured bacterium
Lineage: Bacteria
Description: bacterial SSU rRNA
Rfam family: Bacterial small subunit ribosomal RNA
Source: RNAcentral
CCUACGGGAGGCAGCAGUGGGGAAUAUUGCGCAAUGGGGGAAACCCUGACGCAGCCACGCCGCGUGUGUGAUGAAGGCCUUCGGGUUGUAAAGCACUGUCGAGGGGGAAGAAGAAUGACGGUACCCCUCAAGAAAGCACCGGCUAACCCUGUGCCAGCAGCCGCGGUAAUACAGGGGGUGCAAGCGUUGCUCGGAAUCACUGGGCGUAAAGCGUACGCAGGCGGACCAUUAAGUUGGGCGUGAAAGCCCGGGGCUCAACCCCGGAAAUGCGCUCAAAACUGGUGGUCUUGAGUACGGGAGAGGUGAGUGGAAUUCCUGGUGUAGAGGUGAAAUUCGUAGAUAUCAGGAGGAACAUCGGUGGCGAAAGCGGCUCACUGGCCCGAUACUGACGCUCAUGUACGAAAGCGUGGGGAGCAAACAGGAUUAGAUACCCUGGUAGUCCACGCCGUAAACGAUGAGUGCUAGCUGGUGGGAGACCUUAUUUCUCUCAGUGGCGUAGCUAACGCGUUAAGCACUCCGCCUGGGAAGUACUGCCGCAAGGCUAAAACNCAAAGGAAUUGACGG